RNAcentral lists this unclassified non-coding RNA (247 nucleotides) under Hevea brasiliensis (rubber tree). The record is from RNAcentral. Lineage: Eukaryota; Viridiplantae; Streptophyta; Magnoliopsida; Malpighiales; Euphorbiaceae.
UAUUUAAAGAAUCUCUUCCUUUCUUCGUUCUCUUGAUGCCAUCGCCAUGUUUUAAAUUUUUUUCCUUCUGCUGUGCCAAGUCCAGCUCUAUUAAAAGACUAAAGAGACGGAGAAAUUAAUGGCAGAAGGGUUGGGUUCAAAACUCUAGAGUUUUGCAGAAGGGUCUGAAGUGGUAAGUGGUAGCUCUUCCACUCCAAUUUUGGGCGGAUGGGCAUUUUCAUUUUUUGUUUUGUGCUUGUGGGCCACA